GUACACGCUGUGACUAGCAUAUCAAUAAGCGGAGGAAAAGAAACUAACAAGGAUUCCCCUAGUAACGGCGAGUGAAGCGGGAAGAAGCUCAAAUUUGAAAUCUUAAAGGGUUUCCCUUUACGAAUUGUAGUUUAAAGAAGUGUUUUCUGUUGAGGUUUUGGUAAAAGUUCUUUGGAAUAGGACAUCAUAGAGGGUGAGAAUCCCGUAUUUGACCUUUACUUUCAACUUUGUGAUACACUUUCAAAGAGUCGGAUUGUUUGGGAAUGCAGUCCAUAAUGGGUGGUAAAUUUCAUCUAAAGCUAAAUAUUGGCGAGAGACCGAUAGCGAACAAGUACCGUGAGGGAAAGAUGAAAAGAACUUUGAAAAGAGAGUUAAACAGUACGUGAAAUUGUCAAAAGGGAAGCGUUUGACACCAGUGUUGUUUUUCUGAAAAUCAAUUAAAGAACUGUUUAUGCUAAGUUGUUUAGACUUUAUCAGCUAACUGUUUAGUUUUGAGCUUUUCUUUAAUGCACUUUUCAGUUAACAAGUCAACAUCAAUUUCUUUUGCUGUAAAAAAGCUUGAGGAAGGUGGCUUGAGAUUCGUCUUAAGUGUUUAUAGCCUCUUGCCUAUGCAGUCGGAGAGAUUGAGGUCUGCAGCGUAGAUCCUUCGGGGCUAAAUGCAUUUGUGCUAAGUUAUAGCAUUUUAUAGACAACUUGUUGACUAUGAUUUGUCUUGUAGCUUACUCGCUUAUGUUAUUUUACCUACGCUUAGGAUGUUGAGUCGUAGAGCACGCAG
This 775-nucleotide ribosomal RNA is filed under the name uncultured Neocallimastigales. Its description in RNAcentral is "partial large subunit ribosomal RNA". It matches the Rfam family "Eukaryotic large subunit ribosomal RNA", at positions 22 to 628 of the family's 3401-position model. The record is from RNAcentral. Lineage: Eukaryota; Fungi; Neocallimastigomycota; Neocallimastigomycetes; Neocallimastigales.